Molecule: ribosomal RNA, 477 nt
Filed under: uncultured bacterium
Lineage: Bacteria
Description: partial 16S ribosomal RNA
Rfam family: Bacterial small subunit ribosomal RNA
Source: RNAcentral
GAUGAACGCUGGCGGCGUGCCUAAUACAUGCGAGUCGAGCGAACGGACGAGAAGCUUGCUUCUCUGAUGUUAGCGGCGGACGGGUGAGUAACACGUGGAUAACCUGCCUAUAAGACUGGGAUAACUUCGGGAAACCGGAGCUAAUACCGGAUAAUAUUUUGAACCGCAUGGUUCAAAAGUGAAAGACGGUCUUGCUGUCACUUAUAGAUGGAUCCGCGCUGCAUUAGCUAGUUGGUAAGGUAACGGCUUACCAAGGCAACGAUGCAUAGCCGACCUGAGAGGGUGACUGCACAAAUGGGGACAGGGAUACGGCACAGACUCCUACGGGAGGCAGAAGUGGGGAAUAUUGCAAAAUGGGCUGAAGCCUGAUGCAGAAAGGCCGCGUGCGUGAUGACGGCCGUCGGGUUGUAAACCGAUUUCGCCUGGGACGAAGAGGGAGUGACGGUAAUGGGUAAAGAAGCACAGGCUAACUACGUG